This 253-nucleotide ribosomal RNA is filed under the name uncultured bacterium. RNAcentral describes it as "partial 16S ribosomal RNA". It matches the Rfam family "Bacterial small subunit ribosomal RNA", at positions 524 to 776 of the family's 1533-position model. The record is from RNAcentral.
UACAGAGGUGCCAAGCGUUAGGCGGAAUCACUGGGCUUAAAGCGCGUGUAGGUGGACGGGUAAGUAUCUUGUGAAAUCCCACGGCUCAACCGUGGAACUGCUGGAUAUACUGCUUGUCUUGAGGCACUUAGGGGCAGCUGGAACAAAUGGUGGAGCGGUGAAAUGCGUAGAUAUCAGGAGGAAUACCGAUGGCGAAGGCAGGUCUCUGGGCUGACACUGACGCUCAUGCACGAAAGCGUGGGGAGCAAACAGG